This 839-nucleotide ribosomal RNA is filed under the name Leptosphaerulina trifolii. RNAcentral's name for it is "LSU rRNA". It matches the Rfam family "Eukaryotic large subunit ribosomal RNA", at positions 76 to 935 of the family's 3401-position model. Lineage: Eukaryota; Fungi; Ascomycota; Dothideomycetes; Pleosporales; Didymellaceae. The record is from RNAcentral.
UGCCCUAGUACGGCGAGUGAAGCGGCAACAGCUCAAAUUUGAAAUCUGGCGUCUUUGGCGUCCGAGUUGUAAUUUGCAGAGGGCGCUUUGGCAUUGGCAGCGGUCCAAGUUCCUUGGAACAGGACGUCACAGAGGGUGAGAAUCCCGUACGUGGUCGCUAGCCUUUACCGUGUAAAGCCCCUUCGACGAGUCGAGUUGUUUGGGAAUGCAGCUCUAAAUGGGAGGUAAAUUUCUUCUAAAGCUAAAUACUGGCCAGAGACCGAUAGCGCACAAGUAGAGUGAUCGAAAGAUGAAAAGCACUUUGGAAAGAGAGUUAAAAAGCACGUGAAAUUGUUGAAAGGGAAGCGCUUGCAGCCAGACUUGCCUGUAGUUGCUCAUCCGGGUUUCUACCCGGUGCACUCUUCUAUAGGCAGGCCAGCAUCAGUUUGGGCGGUUGGAUAAAGGUCUCUGUCAUGUACCUCCUUUCGGGGAGAACUUAUAGGGGAGACGACAUGCAACCAGCCCGGACUGAGGUCCGCGCAUCUGCUAGGAUGCUGGCGUAAUGGCUGUAAGCGGCCCGUCUUGAAACACGGACCAAGGAGUCUAACAUCUAUGCGAGUGUUUGGGUGUCAAGCCCGAGCGCGUAAUGAAAGUGAACGGAGGUGGGAACCUUUCGGGGUGCACCAUCGACCGAUCCUGAUGUCUUCGGAUGGAUUUGAGUAAGAGCAUAGCUGUUGGGACCCGAAAGAUGGUGAACUAUGCUUGAAUAGGGUGAAGCCAGAGGAAACUCUGGUGGAGGCUCGCAGCGGUUCUGACGUGCAAAUCGAUCGUCAAAUUUGGGCAUAGGGCGAAAGACUAAU